CAGUAGCCACGGGAAUACGAGGGGGGCAAGCGUUGUUCGGAACUAUUGGGCGUAAAGGGCGCGUAGGCGGCGAUCAAAGUCAGGCGUGAAAUUCCUGGGCUCAACCUGGGGGCUGCGUUUGAUACUUGAUUGCUAGAGUGGGGAAGAGGGUCGUGGAAUUCCCAGUGUAGAGGUGAAAUUCGUAGAUAUUGGGAAGAACACCGGUGGCGAAGGCGGCGACCUGGUCCUUGACUGACGCUGAGGCGCGAAAGCUAGGGGAGCAAACAGGAUUAGAUACCCCUGUAGUCCCUGUCUCUUAUAU
RNAcentral lists this ribosomal RNA (301 nucleotides) under uncultured bacterium. Its description in RNAcentral is "partial 16S ribosomal RNA". It matches the Rfam family "Bacterial small subunit ribosomal RNA", at positions 509 to 809 of the family's 1533-position model. The record is from RNAcentral.